AUGACGUGCCUGCGGCCCUCCAGGACCAGGGUUGCCGACCCCUGGACUAGAGUCCCGUCCAGGGCCAGGGUUGCCGACCCCUGGACUAGAGUCCCGUCCAGGGUUGCCGACCCCUGGACUAAAGUCCCGUCCAGGGCGUGCACGCGUACAUCAACCUGCCUCAUGCUACAGAGACAGAGAUCUGCUGCCAUGAGUGGAGGUGAUAUGGUCUGUGGUGGUUCUGGCUCACACAAGGCUACUUACAUAUUUUGUCAUCAAGUGGGAGAAGUCGAUGCAUAUUUCUCAACAGUGAAAUGUAAUGAUGUUCAGCAUGGCAUCUCAGAAUCAAACAUUACUAAAGUCUGCAUCAUAUUUCAUACAAUCCUAUAGGAUUAAUAACCAUGAAAUGUUAAUGAGUUUAAAAUCAAAAUCUAAGAAACAAGCAAACAAAUAGAUGAGUUCAUUAAUGGGGAGGUGUUGGAUAGUGACAAUAGGAAGUCAGUCCAACAGUUA
This 492-nucleotide long non-coding RNA is filed under the name Oncorhynchus mykiss (rainbow trout). RNAcentral describes it as "lncRNA (ENSOMYG00000061306.1)". The record is from RNAcentral. Lineage: Eukaryota; Metazoa; Chordata; Actinopteri; Salmoniformes; Salmonidae.